Molecule: ribosomal RNA, 1241 nt
Filed under: metagenome
Description: bacterial LSU rRNA
Rfam family: Bacterial large subunit ribosomal RNA
Source: RNAcentral
UGAAUACGAGACGCUAAGGCGUCGAAGUAGUGUAUGUCAUACUUCCAAGAAAAGCUUGCACUGUCAUAAGUAAAAAAUGCCUGUACCAUAACCGACACAGGUGGGUAGGUAGAGUAUACUAAGGGGCGCGAGAUAACUCUCUCUAAGGAACUCGGCAAAAUAACUCCGUAACUUCGAGAGAAGGAGUACCUUAUUCUAUAAGGUUGCAAUAACAAGAUCCAAGCAACUGUUUAUCAAAAACACAGGUCUCCGCUAAGUCGUAAGACGAUGUAUGGGGGCUGACGCCUGCCCAGUGCCAGAAGGUUAAAGAAGUCGGUUAGCAUUAGCGAAGCUGGUAACUGAAGCCCUGGUGAACGGCGGCCGUAACGAUAACGGUCCUAAGGUAGCGAAAUUCCUUGUCGGGUAAGUUCCGACCCGCACGAAAGGCGUAAUGAUUUGGAUACUGUCUCGGAGAGGGGCUCGGUGAAAUAGACUUGUCUGUGAAGAUGCGGACUACCUGCACCAGGACAGAAAGACCCUAUGAAGCUUUACUGUAACUUGAAAUUGAAAUUGGACUUUAUUCGCGCAGUAUAGGUGGGAGGUGUUGAUUAUAAUCUUGCGGGAUUAUUGGAGCCAUCAGUGAGAUACCACUCUUGUAAUGUUAGAUUUCUAACUUUGAAUCAUUAUCUGGUCAAAGGACAGUUUCAGGCGGGCAGUUUGACUGGGGCGGUCGCCUCCCAAACGGUAACGGAGGCGUACAAAGGUUUCCUCUGAACGGGUAGAAAUCGUAUCUAGAGUGUAAAGGCAUAAGGAAGCUUGACUGUGAGACCUACAAGUCGAACAGGGACGAAAGUCGGUCUUAGUGAUCUGACGGUACUGAGUGGAAAGGCCGUCACUCAACGGAUAAAAGUUACUCUAGGAUAACAGGCUGAUCUCCCCCAAGAGUUCACAUCGACGGGGAGGUUUGGCACCUCGAUGUCGGCUCAUCGCAUCCUGGGGCGGUAGUACGUCCCAAGGGUUGGGCUGUUCGCCCAUGAAAGCGGUACGCGAGCUGGGUUCAGAACGUCGUGAGACAGUUCGGUCCAUAUCCGGUGUAGGCGUUAGAAUAUUGAGAGGAGCCUUCUUUAGUACGAGAGGACCGAGAAGGACAUACCUCUGGUGUACCAGUUAUCGUGCCAACGGUAAACGCUGGGUAGCUAUGUAUGGAGUGGAUAACCGCUGAAAGCAUCUAAGUGGGAAGCCCACCUCAAGAUAAGUAUUCU